RNAcentral lists this long non-coding RNA (330 nucleotides) under Polistes fuscatus (common paper wasp). RNAcentral describes it as "uncharacterized LOC122522548". Lineage: Eukaryota; Metazoa; Arthropoda; Insecta; Hymenoptera; Vespidae. The record is from RNAcentral.
CGUUAAAGUUUCUUUUCAUAUUUUAUGAUUCAUCACGAUAACGAUCGUUAUCGGGACGACCGAAGAUCAGCAUGCGCUAUAUUUCUAUCGAUGCACUUAUAUGUGCACGAUAUCAUACCCGACAUUUGCAACAUGCCAUGAAAAGUUUAAUCUCAACCUAUGACAAAGAUUCGUAAUAUUAAAAAAAUACGUGGUACUUAUAUUUAAGGCACGCAUUGACAAGCAAAGAGAUCAUCAUGAAAUAUCAAUAUUUGAUAACAUUAUUGAAGCUAACCGUUCUUGUUUUAUUACAAGAAUCUUAUCCUACAAUAAACGUUGGAACUCUUCAAA